This 318-nucleotide unclassified non-coding RNA is filed under the name Hevea brasiliensis (rubber tree). The record is from RNAcentral. Lineage: Eukaryota; Viridiplantae; Streptophyta; Magnoliopsida; Malpighiales; Euphorbiaceae.
AAGCCUUAAUCCCAAACUAGUUAGGGUCGGUUUCACGGAUCCUUUCUCGACAUUUAGCUCUGCUAGAUAUCAGGUCCACUCACUGACACCACAAAUAGUCAUAAAUCAUUAAUUGUUAUGAGUUCAGGAUCAUGCUACUAGUUUCUUGUAAUUAAAAUAAGCCUUCUUUGAAUAAAUGAACAGAAGUUGGUCUAAUAACAGUGAAAAUUAUAAAUCUAAAUUCUGAAGAAAUAGCAACAAGAUGGUACAUUAACAGUACAAGAAAAGAGAAGUAAAGAUCAACAAAAGUAUACCUCAUCAAAUUUCAUAAAGUUCUGG